AGCAUAGUAGCUCAGGUGGUAGAGCGCCCGUUGUGUAAAAAUGGAGGACCCUAGAUCGAAACUAGGCUACUAAUGCUA
RNAcentral lists this transfer RNA (78 nucleotides) under Colletotrichum orbiculare MAFF 240422. RNAcentral's name for it is "tRNA-Tyr (GTA) (tRNA-Tyr-GTA-5-1)". The record is from RNAcentral. Lineage: Eukaryota; Fungi; Ascomycota; Sordariomycetes; Glomerellales; Glomerellaceae.